RNAcentral lists this ribosomal RNA (669 nucleotides) under Arthrobacter globiformis. RNAcentral describes it as "bacterial SSU rRNA". It matches the Rfam family "Bacterial small subunit ribosomal RNA", at positions 80 to 758 of the family's 1533-position model. Lineage: Bacteria; Bacillati; Actinomycetota; Actinomycetes; Micrococcales; Micrococcaceae. The record is from RNAcentral.
GCUCCGGGUGGAUGAGUGGCGAACGGGUGAGUAACACGUGAGUAACCUGCCCCUGACUCUGGGAUAAGCCUGGGAAACUGGGUCUAAUACUGGAUAUGACUACUGGCCGCAUGGUCUGGUGGUGGAAAGAUUUAUCGGUUGGGGAUGGACUCGCGGCCUAUCAGCUUGUUGGUGAGGUAGUGGCUCACCAAGGCGACGACGGGUAGCCGGCCUGAGAGGGUGACCGGCCACACUGGGACUGAGACACGGCCCAGACUCCUACGGGAGGCAGCAGUGGGGAAUAUUGCACAAUGGGCGCAAGCCUGAUGCAGCGACGCCGCGUGAGGGAUGACGGCCUUCGGGUUGUAAACCUCUUUCAGUUGGGAAGAAGCCCCUUGGGGUGACGGUACCUUCAGAAGAAGCGCCGGCUAACUACGUGCCAGCAGCCGCGGUAAUACGUAGGGCGCGAGCGUUAUCCGGAAUUAUUGGGCGUAAAGAGCUCGUAGGCGGUUUGUCGCGUCUGCCGUGAAAGUCCGGGGCUUAACUCCGGAUCUGCGGUGGGUACGGGCAGACUAGAGUGCAGUAGGGGAGACUGGAACUCCUGGUGUAGCGGUGAAAUGCGCAGAUAUCAGGAAGAACACCGAUGGCGAAGGCAGGUCUCUGGGCUGUAACUGACGCUGAGGAGCGAAA